RNAcentral lists this ribosomal RNA (465 nucleotides) under uncultured bacterium. Its description in RNAcentral is "partial 16S ribosomal RNA". It matches the Rfam family "Bacterial small subunit ribosomal RNA", at positions 28 to 507 of the family's 1533-position model. The record is from RNAcentral.
GACGAACGCUGGCGGCGUGCUUAACACAUGCAAGUCGAACGGAAAGGCCCCUUUGGGGGUACUCGAGUGGCGAACGGGUGAGUAACACGUGCGUAACCUGCCUUUGCCUUCGGGAUAACUUCAGGAAACUGGGUCUAAUACCUGAUAGGAAUCCUUUCCGCCUGGUGGGGGGGGGAAAGCUUGGGCGGUUUUGGAUGGACUCGCGGCUUAUCUGUUUGUUGGUGGGGUGGUGGCUUACCUAGGCUUUGACGGGUAGCCGGCCUGAGAGGGCGACCGGCCACAUUGGGACUGAGAUACGGCCCAGACUCCUACGGGGGGCAACAGUGGGGAAUAAUGCACAAUGGGCGGAAGCCUGAUGCAGCAACGGCGCGGGCGGGAUGACGGGCUUCGGGUUGUAAAACGCUUUCAGCAGGUGAGAAGCUUGUGGUGACGGUACCUGCAGAAGAAGCACCGGCUAACUACGUG